Danio rerio (zebrafish) is the source of this 764-nucleotide non-coding RNA. The record is from RefSeq and is a predicted model, not a curated record. Lineage: Eukaryota; Metazoa; Chordata; Actinopteri; Cypriniformes; Danionidae.
AUGCCCCUGUGCGAUAAAGCCAAUGCAGGCCUGCAACAUAUCCUGUCGGGAUGCAAUGUUGCACUGACGCAGGGCCGCUUUAGAUGGUGGCACAACCAGGUUCCUCAGAACAGGAGAAGUGGGGCAGACUACUGGUACAGAGAGAACAAGGUGCCUAUUCGCACCUUGAACGGAAUGUUGUUCAAUGCUCUAAUGUGGAUGGGUCUUGUCUACUUCAGUCUCUUGAUUUCUCUUUAUUCUCUGGUGUUUUCAGCUCCUCUGCCUGUUCCUGUCCUCAUCCUCAACUCUUCUCAAUGUCCUUCAUCCUCAUCUUCAUCAGUGCAGUAUUGUUCAGUGCUGUGUUCAGUGGUGAAUGUGAGCGCUGUGAGUCUCUCCUGGUACAAAGGAAACAGUUUAUUGUCCAGCAUCAGUGUGUCUGAUCUCAGCAUCAGUCUCUCUCUACCUCUGGAGGUGGAAUAUCAGGAGAAAAACACCUACAGCUGUGUGAUCAACAACACCAUCAGCAACCAGACUCAACAUCUGGACAUCAGUCAACUCUGUCCCACAUGUUCAGGCUCUGUUCACUGCUGUGGUCCUACUGAAGCUGCGAUCCGAUUGGUCCUCUCUGUUCUGGUGGGCGUGGCUACUGUCAUUAUUGUGCUUUAUGACAUCAGAUCCAGAAGAGCUGAACAAGAUCAAGCACAUAUUCACGCAUCACAAACCUGAAUGAUGAUGUCAGAGAACUGCUUUCAGUCAUUUCAGCUUCAAUUAUUUUGAAGAUUUUA